AAUCAAGCGCGAGAAGGGCGUUUGGUGGAUGCCUUGGCAGUAAGAGGCGAUGAAGGACGUGAUACUCUGCGAUAAGCGUAGGCGAGCCGAGAAUAGGCUUUGACCCUGCGAUCUCCGAAUGGGGCAACCCACCUGACAGUUUCUUAUUGAUAGCUUCGGUUAUCAAUAAGGUGCUGAGACAGGUACUUUUUACCUGAAUACAUAGGGUUUAAAGAGCAAACCCGGGGAACUGAAACAUCUAAGUACCCGGAGGAAAGGAAAUCAACAGAUACUCCCCUAGUAGCGGCGAGCGAACGGGGACCAGCCGAGCCGUAAUUGUGACCAGAACAACCUGGAAAGGUUGACCAUAGUGGGUGACAGUCCCGUAUGGGAAGCAUGAUCGGACGUAUUAAGUAGGGCGGGACACGUGAAAUCCUGUCUGAACAUGGGGGGACCACCCUCUAAGGCUAAGUACUCCUUACUGACCGAUAGCGAACCAGUACCGUGAGGGAAAGGUGAAAAGCACCCCGACGAGGGGAGUGAAACAGUUUCUGAAACCGGACGCCUACAAUCAGUCGGAGCCUCCUUGAGAGGUGACGGCGUACCUUUUGUAUAAUGGGUCAUCGACUUGGUCUCACAAGCAAGCUUAAGCCGUUAGGUGUAGGCGCAGCGAAAGCGAGUCUUAAUAGGGCGCAUGAGUUUGUGGGAUCAGACCCGAAACCGAGUGAUCUAGGCAUGACCAGGAUGAAGGUUAGGUAACACUAACUGGAGGUCCGAACCCACACCUGUUGAAAAAGGUCGGGAUGAGUUGUGCCUAGGGGUGAAAGGCCAAUCAAACUCGGAGAUAGCUGGUUCUCCGCGAAAUCUAUUUAGGUAGAGCGUCAUCCGAAUACCCCGGGGGGUAGAGCACUGGAUGGGUAAUGGGGGCUUACCGCCUUACUGAUCCUAACCAAACUCCGAAUACCCGGGAGUACUAGAUGGCAGACACACUAUGGGUGCUAACGUCCAUGGUGGAGAGGGAAACAACCCUGACCUACAGCUAAGGCCCCUAAUUCAUGGCUAAGUGGGAAAGCAGGUGGGACGACCAAAACAACCAGGAGGUUGGCUUAGAAGCAGCCAUCCUUUAAAGAUAGCGUAACAGCUCACUGGUCUAAUCAAGUUGUCCUGCGGCGAAGAUGUAACGGGGCUCAAGCCAUGAGCCGAAGCUUAGGAUGCCGUAAGGCAUGGUAGCGGAGCGUAGUGUGAUAAAACCCACGCCUCUUUUGCGGUUUCGACCGUACCGGAGGCUCGGGUUUGACUGUGAAGCCGGCCUGUGAGGGAUCCGGUGGAGUGAUCACUAGUGAGAAUGAUGACAUGAGUAGCGACAAACAGGGUGAGAGACCCUGUCGCCGAAAGUCCAAGGGUUCCUGCUUAAAGCUAAUCUGAGCAGGGUAAGCCGACCCCUAAGGCGAGGCCGAAAGGCGUAGUCGAUGGGAACCAGGUUAAUAUUCCUGGGCCAGGAGGAUGUGACGGAUCUCGAAGAUUGUUUGCCCUUAUCGGAUUGGGCAGGCCGUUUAGAGGUUCCUGGAAAUAGCCCUCCAUGAGAUCGUACCCUAAACCGACACAGGUGGACUGGUAGAGAAUACCAAGGCGCUUGAGAGAACUAUGUUGAAGGAACUCGGCAAAAUACCUCCGUAAGUUCGCGAGAAGGAGGCCCAGUUUCUACGCAAGUAUUGGCUGGGGGCACAAACCAGGGGGUGGCGACUGUUUACUAAAAACACAGGGCUCUGCGAAGUCGCAAGACGACGUAUAGGGUCUGACGCCUGCCCGGUGCUGGAAGGUUAAAAGGAGGGGUGCAAGCCUCGAAUUGAAGCCCCAGUAAACGGCGGCCGUAACUAUAACGGUCCUAAGGUAGCGAAAUUCCUUGUCGGGUAAGUUCCGACCUGCACGAAUGGCGUAACGACUUCCCCGCUGUCUCCAACAUAGACUCAGCGAAAUUGAAUUGCCUGUCAAGAUGCAGGCUUCCCGCGGUUAGACGGAAAGACCCCGUGCACCUUUACUACAGCUUCACAUUGGCAUUAGGCCGAACAUGUGCAGGAUAGGUGGUAGGCUUCGAAGCAGAAACGCCAGUUUCUGUGGAGCCUUCCUUGAGAUACCACCCUUGUUCUGCUUGAUGUCUAACCGCGGUCCGUUAUCCGGAUCCGGGACCCUGUGUGGCGGGUAGUUUGACUGGGGCGGUCGCCUCCUAAAGCGUAACGGAGGCGCGCGAAGGUUGGCUCAGAGCGGUCGGAAAUCGCUCGUUGAGUGCAAUGGCAGAAGCCAGCCUGACUGCGAGACUGACAAGUCGAGCAGAGUCGAAAGACGGCCAUAGUGAUCCGGUGGUCCCGAGUGGAAGGGCCAUCGCUCAACGGAUAAAAGGUACGCCGGGGAUAACAGGCUGAUACUGCCCAAGAGUCCAUAUCGACGGCAGUGUUUGGCACCUCGAUGUCGGCUCAUCUCAUCCUGGGGCUGGAGCAGGUCCCAAGGGUACGGCUGUUCGCCGUUUAAAGAGGUACGUGAGCUGGGUUUAGAACGUCGUGAGACAGUUCGGUCCCUAUCUGCCGUGGGUGUAGGAUACUUGAGAGGAGUUGCCCCUAGUACGAGAGGACCGGGGUGAACGAUCCACUGGUGUACCAGUUGUUCCGCCAGGAGCAGUGCUGGGUAGCUAUGAUCGGAAAGGAUAACCGCUGAAGGCAUCUAAGCGGGAAGCCCCCCUCAAAACAAGGUAUCCCUGAGGACCGAGGUAGACCACCUCGUCGAUAGGCCGGAGAUGUAAGUGCAGCAAUGCAUUCAGUUGACCGGUACUAAUUGUCCGAUAGGCUUGAUUUG
Molecule: ribosomal RNA, 2826 nt
Rfam family: Bacterial large subunit ribosomal RNA
Source: Rfam